Molecule: ribosomal RNA, 629 nt
Filed under: uncultured Bacteroidales bacterium
Lineage: Bacteria; Pseudomonadati; Bacteroidota; Bacteroidia; Bacteroidales
Description: bacterial SSU rRNA
Rfam family: Bacterial small subunit ribosomal RNA
Source: RNAcentral
CCUUCCGAAAGAAAGAUUAAUAUCCGAUAGCAUAUAUUUCCCGCAUGGGUUUUAUAUUAAAGAAAUUCGGUAUGAGAUGGGGAUGCGUUCCAUUAGUUUGUUGGCAGGGUAACGGCCCACCAAGACUACGAUGGAUAGGGGUUCUGAGAGGAAGGUCCCCCACAUUGGAACUGAGACACGGUCCAAACUCCUACGGGAGGCAGCAGUGAGGAAUAUUGGUCAAUGGACGCGAGUCUGAACCAGCCAAGUAGCGUGAAGGAUGACUGCCCUAUGGGUUGUAAACUUCUUUUAUAUGGGAAUAAAGUGGUCCACGUGUGGAUUUUUGUAUGUACCAUAUGAAUAAGGAUCGGCUAACUCCGUGCCAGCAGCCGCGGUAAUACGGAGGAUCCGAGCGUUAUCCGGAUUUAUUGGGUUUAAAGGGAGCGUAGGCGGAUUGUUAAGUCAGUUGUGAAAGUUUGCGGCUCAACCGUAAAAUUGCAGUUGAUACUGGCAGUCUUGAGUGCAGUAGAGGUGGGCGGAAUUCGUGGUGUAGCGGUGAAAUGCUUAGAUAUCACGAAGAACUCCGAUUGCGAAGGCAGCUCACUGGAGUGUAACUGACGCUGAUGCUCGAAAUGUGGGUAUCAAACAGG